RNAcentral lists this long non-coding RNA (4704 nucleotides) under Sus scrofa (pig). RNAcentral describes it as "lncRNA (ENSSSCG00000051935.1)". The record is from RNAcentral. Lineage: Eukaryota; Metazoa; Chordata; Mammalia; Artiodactyla; Suidae.
AACCUAUGGAAUUUGAUGCUUUCUCUGGGUACUUAGUGUCAGAAUUGAGUUGAAACAUAGGACACCCAGCUGGUGUUGGGAGAGUUGCUCUGGAUGGGAAAAAUCCCACAUAUUAGAACUGAUGUCAGGAUUGUAUCCUGCCUUGCAAAAGAAGCUUUCUGUAUCUCUCUCUCUAUGCAUCAUUUUUUCUCUCCUAGAAAAACAUUCUCACUUGCUCCUUAUCUUAUGUUCUCAGUUUAUUGGUCAUAAUUUGGUCAAGUAUGGGCAUUUGACCCUGAUAUGAAAUGUACAACUUCCCAUUUUAUGAUGAGAAAGUUUUUUGAAUAGAUUUUUGAAAAGACAAUAUAUAUUUGCUCUAAAACAAAUUCAAAAUGCAAUUACAGGCAAAGAGGGCAACAGUGGAGGAGAGUUAUACUCACUGUGACCAGCUGAUAUCUGUGAAUCACCCUGGAAGUUCAUGCUGGAAUCAUCUGUGUAGACAAAGGGAUCUGGCCAGUGAUUCUCUUGGGCCAUUUUUCUCCUUGGGGGUGCUGACAUCUGGCAAGGGAAGCCUCUAUGAGAAAAGGGACACUGAUGAAGUCAUUCCUUCGCUGGAAAGCAAUGUUUUCAAGAGGACUGGCAUUGCUGUAACAACCUCAAGACAAAUUGGGUUAACUCCAAGAAUCUCUACCUGAGCUAGAAAAUGACCCAUUUUUUUUUAUCACAGAAAAACACUCCAGAUGUAUCAGUCAAAAAUGAAACUUUGUAAGUAUUAGAAAAUGUGUGUCAACAUCUUUGUGACUCAGAGUUAAAGGGAUAUUUUCUUUAGUGAGAUUUUUGAAACAGUCUAUGUUUGAAAAGAUGGAUACAUUAGACAAUUAGACUAGAUCCGAUGACCUUAGGUUUCUCAUCAGAAACCAAAGACAGACAAUGGAACAAAAAUCAUUACAGUACGGAAAGAAGACUGCCCACAUGGAAUUUUCUACCUAGGAAAAUACCUUUCAUGAAUGAAGGUGAAGUGAUGACAUUCUCAGAUUAAGGGAAACUAUGAAACCCAUGACUAUUAGUUCUGUUCUAUAGAAAUGUUAAUGAAAGUUCUUCUAUGGAGUUCCUGUCGUGGCACAGUGGUUAAUGAAUCUGACUAGGAACCAUGAGGUUGCGGGUUUGAUCCCUGGCCUUGCUCAGUGGGUUAAGGAUCCCGUGUUGCCGUGAGCUGUGGUGUGGGUUGCAGACGUGGCUCAGAUUCUGCGUUACUGUGGUUCUGGUGUAGGUCAGUGGCUACAGCUACGAUUAGACCCCUAGCCUGGGAACCUCCAUAUGCCACGGGAGUGGCUCAAGAAGAGGCAAAAAGAUUAAAAGAAAGAAAGAAAGAAAGAAAGAAAGAAAGAAAGAAAUGUUAAUGAAAGUUCUUCUAGGGAGUUCCCAUCAUGGUGCAGAGGAAAUGAAUCUGACUAGGAUCCAUGGGGUUGCCGGUUCAAUCCCUGGCCUUGCUCAGUUAAGGAUCUGGCGUUGCCGUGAGCUGUGGUGUAGGUCACAGAUGUGGCUCAGAUCCCAUGUGCUGUGGCUGUGGUGUAGGCCAUCAGCUAUAGCUCCAAUUCGACCCCUAGCCUGGGAACCUCUGUAAGCCGCGAGUGUGGCCCUAAAAAGCAAAAAAGAAAGUUGUUCAAGCUAAAGGGAAAUGGUACAAGAGGAAAACUGGAAUUUCUGGAAUGAAGAAAGAGCCAUAGAAAUGGUAAGUAUCUGUUUUUAAUAAUAACAACAACAUUUGGAGAAGUUUUUCGUGAGUUAAAUAAAUAUCAAAGUGCUUCAUGUACCUGAUACAUUUAAUUCUCAACAAACACAAGGGGAAAAGUACAGUUGUUAGCAUCCUCUUAUAAAUGAAGGAAGUAAGAUUUUAAAGUCUGGGCAGCUAGAGUAGCAUUACUGGGAAUGAGUUAGGUCUUACUAACUCCUGUAUACAGAAUCUAAACCUCUGCUCACUUCCCUGGCAAGGAAAUUUGAGGUCUACAGCUUAAACUGAUAUAAUUAAACAAAGAAGCAUAGGGUUCCUCUGAACUUGGGUGUUUCUCCCAAUCCAGGCUAUGAAGUGCACAAGACAGAAUUGCCAGCAAGGGCACUGCCCUUACUCACCAAGUGUUUAUUACCUGCCUUCUGCAGCCUGUGCUUAUGUAGGUCUGGUGACUCUGCAGUGAACAAAACAAAAAUUGCUACUGUGAUAGAAUUUCUAAUGUUAAAUAGUCUAAUGAGGAUUUGCAAAGACCAGGUUAGCACAAACUGGGAAAGUUUGGGAGCCCUGCACAGUAGACACCAACCUUUAGUAACAAGGAGUCUCAUAUUUCUCCCUGACUUACAUGAGGCAGUCGUAUCUUCUGAUCUUCCUCUGCCCUCCAUUUACAACCCUCUAUCACCUCCCUCCAAAUGGAGAUGGAGCUGUAUCCUUUAAGCUUGCUCCUUUAGUCUUUUAAAUCCUUUUUGACUACGUAAACCCUGCAAUCUGGGCUCCUAUCCUUCUCUCCCUCCCCUCCCCCUGCUUACCUGUCAUGAAUUCCCUUGGAGUACCCACUCUCAAGCCUGCUUGCUGUGUCUCUCUGGAAAUGCAGCUCCUUCAGUGUGCUCUCAUGGUGAAAGACUGUGUAUUUAAACCUAAUUUUUAAUACCAUCAGACUCAUUAGGGGUGUGUACCACCCAGACACACCCCUAAUGUCCCACCCUUCAUUCAUUCCUUCAGUCAUGUAUUUAUUCUAUUAAAGUAUGCUUAGAGACUAAUUUAACUGUUGAGGGAAAUAGAGUUAUUCUUUUUAUACUCAAACUCCCUACCUUUGACCAACCCUUUAAGCUGGCGCCUUUGUCUUUUUGAUACAACUGCCCCUUUACUUUUAUGUAUUUAUUCUUCUUUUAGGCCUGCACCCAUGGCAUAUGGAGGUUCCCAGGCUAGCAGUCCAAUCAGAGCUGUAAUGGCCAGACUGUGCCACAGCCACAGCAAUGCAGGAUCCUUAACCCCCUGAGCGAGGGCAGGGAUCGAACAGACAUCCUCAGGGAUACUAGUUGGAUUUGUUUCCACUGAACCACGACGGGAGCCCCCAUCCCCUUUGCUUUUAUAUUUACACUGCUUAAAGUUAUGGAUCUGUCCUGGAGUUCCCCUGUGGCACAGUGGGUUAAAGAUCUGGCAUUGUCACUGCAUUGGCCUGGGUUGCUGCUGUGGUGUGAGUUCGAUCUCUGGCCCAGGGAUUCCACAAAUCACGGGCAUAACCAAAAAACCCCCAAACAAACAAACAAACAAAAACAAAGUUAUAGGUCCAUCUCUUUAAAACAGCAGUACAAUGGACUUCCUGCUGUGGCUCAGAGAGUUACAAACCUGACUAGUAUCCAUGAGGAUGCAGGUUCAAUCCCUGGCCUCACUCAGUGGAUUAAGGAUCUGGCACUGCCUUGAGCUGAAGUGUAGGUCGCGGACUCAGCUUGGAUCCUGUGUUGCUGUAGACUGGCAGCUGCAGCUCUGAUUCGUUUGACCCCUUGCCUGGGAACUCCCAUAUGCCUCAGGUGCAGCCCUAAAAAGCAAAAAACAAAACAAAACAAACAAACAAACAAACCCACAGCAGUACAAAAUACAGCCCCCCCCCCAACUGGAAAAAUUUAACAUGGAUUAAAUCCAUUUAUGUUUGAUAGGAUAAUGCUUAUAUAUAUAAUGUAUGUGGACUGAUUUCUACUUUCUUAUCUUUGUGUUUUGUGUUUUUUUUGUUUGUUUUUUACUUCUCCUGCCUUCCUUCGGAAUGGUUGUACUGUAUCUCCUCCUCCUGUCCUACAAAGGUAUGUAAGUUAUAUGCAAGAUUCAAAGUUACCAUUAAUUUUUUAACAUACAUACCUAUUUAAAAAAUUCAAACAUUGAGAGUUCCCGUCAUGGCUCAAUGGUUAACGAAUCUGACUAGGAACCAAGAGGUUUCAGGUUCGAUCCCUGGCCUUGCUCAGUGGGUUAAGGAUCCUGCGUUGCCGUGAGCUGUGGUGUAAGUUGCAGACAGGCUUGGAUCCCAAGUUACUGUGGCUCUGGCGUAGGCGGGCGGCUACAGUUCCUAUUCGACCCCUAGCCUGGGAACCUCCACAUGCCGCGGGAGUGGCCCUAGAAAAGGCAAAAAGACAAAAAAAAAAAAAAAAAAGAAAAGAAAAGAAAAAUUCAAACAUUAAUCUGUAUGUCUAUACUUCUUCCAAACAAUAAAAUGCUCUUUGAAUUUUUAACAGUGAAUUCCCCUUCUUCAGUCUUUCCUAUUAUUUUUGUCUACUGUCUUAGGUCAAACUUGCUUUUACAGCCCUAAAAGUCAUCACUAUUCUUUAUUGUCACAAAUUUUUAUUUAGAUUUAACCAUAUGUUUAUCAAGUUCUUUGGCCAUCGUUGCUUUUUCCUCCUCAUUUUUCCUGUUGGGCACAGCUUUAUUCUUUCUGAAGUAGAAUUAUUAAUAGUUCCUUUUGGAGUUCCCAUCGUCGCUCAGUGGUUAACAAACCCGAUUGGCAUCCAUGAGGACAAGUGUUUGAUCCCUGGCCUUGCUCAAUGUGGUAAGGAUCCAGUGUUACCUUGAGCUGUGGUAUAGGUCGCAGAUGCGGCUUGGAUCCUGCGUUGCUGUGGCUGGCGGUUACAGUUCCCAUUGGACUCCUAGCCUGUGAACCUCCAUAUGCUGCAGGUGUGGCCCUAAAGAGACAAAAAGACAAAAAUUAAUUAAUUAAUUAAUUAAAAUUAGUA